This 365-nucleotide long non-coding RNA is filed under the name Fukomys damarensis (Damara mole-rat). RNAcentral describes it as "lncRNA (ENSFDAG00000023668.1)". The record is from RNAcentral. Lineage: Eukaryota; Metazoa; Chordata; Mammalia; Rodentia; Bathyergidae.
CAGAAAGAAGAGGUCUGGAAGGUUCAUAGGAUACUUGGAGACCUGGCAAUUAGGAAAGUUCAUCCAUAGCUGAAGAAUUUGAAGAAGUUAGACUUGAAAAAAGAGAGGUGAAGUCACAGCAGAUGGCAAUAUGAGAUAAGGACAAUCAUUAGUCUGUGGAUGUUUGUCUUCAAAAAGUGCAGCAAGAGUUGAGAAAGAGGAAUGUGAAGGAGAAAAGAAGGAAGAUCUUUGUGAACCCCGAUACAAAUUUUGGUACAAAGAGGGACCAUACAGAAUUACAAGGAUGAGUUUUGUUAAUGGCUUUAUCCAUCCCUGGAGUUGGCUGUCUAAUUGAUGAGACCUACAGCUGCUUGGUCCCUCCUCUG